RNAcentral lists this ribosomal RNA (482 nucleotides) under uncultured bacterium. Its description in RNAcentral is "partial 16S ribosomal RNA". It matches the Rfam family "Bacterial small subunit ribosomal RNA", at positions 28 to 523 of the family's 1533-position model. The record is from RNAcentral.
GACGAACGCUGGCGGCGUGCUUAACACAUGCAAGUCGAACGAUGAAACCUAGCUUGCUAGGUCGAUUAGUGGCGAACGGGUGAGUAACACGUGACUAACCUGCCCCUUUCUCUGGGAUAACGCUCCGAAAGGAGUGCUAAUACCGGAUACUCACACCGAGGCACAUGCCUUGGUGUGGAAAGUUUUUCGGAAAGGGAUGGAGUCGCGGCCUAUCAGCUUGUUGGUGAGGUAACGGCUCACCAAGGCGACGACGGGUAGCCGGCCUGAGAGGGCGACCGGCCACACUGGGACUGAGACACGGCCCAGACUCCUACGGGAGGCAGCAGUGGGGAAUAUUGCACAAUGGGCGCAAGCCUGAUGCAGCGACGCCGCGUGAGGGAUGAAGGUCUUCGGAUUGUAAACCUCUUUCAGUAGGGACGAAGCGAAAGUGACGGUACCUAAAGAAGGAGCACCGGCUAACUACGUGCCAGCAGCCGCCGUAA